GAGCCUGGCCAAGGAUUCCCAGGUGUUCUCAGUCCCUUUUCAGGACAGAACACAGGCCACUCACGAUGGGUUUUGGGCUCAGCUGGGUUUUCCUUGCUGCUAUUAUAAGAGGUGUCCAGUGUGAUGUGCAGCUGGUGGAGUCUGGGGGAGGCUUGUUGAAGCCUGGUGGGUCUCUGAGACUCUCUUGUGCAGCCUCUGGAUUCACAUUCAGUAGAAGCCCAAUGAACUGGGUCCGCCAGGCUCCAGGGAAGGGGCUGGAGUGGGUUUCAUACAUUAGUCAUGAUGGUAGUAGAACAUACUAUGCCAGCUCUGUGAAAGGCCGAUUUACCAUCUCCAGAGACAAUGGCAAGAACAUGCUCUAUUUGCAAAUGAACAGCCUGAGAGCUGAGGACACAGCCAUGUAUUACUGUGCGAGUGGCACAGUGAGGUGGUAGAACUUA
Non-coding RNA from Phyllostomus discolor (pale spear-nosed bat), 440 nucleotides. The record is from the annotation of a RefSeq genome assembly. NCBI's taxonomy places the organism in Eukaryota, Metazoa, Chordata, Mammalia, Chiroptera, Phyllostomidae.